Non-coding RNA from Salmo salar (Atlantic salmon), 58 nucleotides. Lineage: Eukaryota; Metazoa; Chordata; Actinopteri; Salmoniformes; Salmonidae. The record is from Rfam.
UGGCUCAGUUGGUAGAGCAUGGUGUUUGCAACGCCAGAGUUGUGGGUUCGCUUCCUAC